AGGAAGCACAUUCUGAAGAAAACGCAUCUACUUUAACAAAGAAAAUUUGUGGCACAAAGAAACCCUCAUUGCCAUCAGUUCAAAACGUACACUCAGAGGAAGAACCUCCUGAAGAAGGGGCAGCCAUUUCUAAAAACAAAAUGGGUGGCAUUAAUAAAUCCUCAUUGCAAUCAAUUAAAAAAGGAAAAUCCAGAAGGCCCUGGUCAAAGACUGAGGGAGACAUUGUUGAAAGCCAUUUCAAA
Long non-coding RNA from Fundulus heteroclitus (mummichog), 242 nucleotides. RefSeq lists it as uncharacterized. Lineage: Eukaryota; Metazoa; Chordata; Actinopteri; Cyprinodontiformes; Fundulidae. The transcript is spliced from 3 exons. The record is from RefSeq and is a predicted model, not a curated record.